GGUAUUCCUUAUCUCUAAUAGUUGGUUUGUCUGGAACCUGCCCUAUUGCGCUCUUUUUAAAGCGCAUAAAGCGCAAUAGGACAGGCUCAGCGUUUCGUUGCCGCGCGAGA
Molecule: small RNA, 110 nt
Filed under: insect gut metagenome
Description: tp2
Rfam family: tp2
Source: RNAcentral